GAUGAACGCUGGCGGCGUGCCUAAUACAUGCAAGUCGAGCGAACGGACGAGAAGCUUGCUUCUCUGAUGUUAGCGGCGGACGGGUGAGUAACACGUGGAUAACCUACCUAUAAGACUGGGAUAACUUCGGGAAACCGGAGCUAAUACCGGAUAAUAUUUUGAACCGCAUGGUUCAAAAGUGAAAGACGGUCUUGCUGUCACUUAUAGAUGGAUCCGCGCUGCAUUAGCUAGUUGGUAAGGUAACGGCUUACCAAGGCAACGAUGCAUAGCCGACCUGAGAGGGUGAUCGGCCACACUGGAACUGAGACACGGUCCAGACUCCUACGGGAGGCAGCAGUAGGGAAUCUUCCGCAAUGGGCGAAAGCCUGACGGAGCAACGCCGCGUGAGUGAUGAAGGUCUUCGGAUCGUAAAACUCUGUUAUUAGGGAAGAACAUAUGUGUAAGUAACUGUGCACAUCUUGACGGUACCUAAUCAGAAAGCCACGGCUAACUACGUGCCAGCAGCCGCGGUAAUACGUAGGUGGCAAGCGUUAUCCGGAAUUAUUGGGCGUAAAGCGCGCGUAGGCGGUUUUUUAAGUCUGAUGUGAAAGCCCACGGCUCAACCGUGGAGGGUCAUUGGAAACUGGAAAACUUGAGUGCAGAAGAGGAAAGUGGAAUUCCAUGUGUAGCGGUGAAAUGCGCAGAGAUAUGGAGGAACACCAGUGGCGAGGGCGACUUUCUGGUCUGUAACUGACGCUGAUGUGCGAAAGCGUGGGGAUCAAACAGGAUUAGAUACCCUGGUAGUCCCCGCCGUAAACGAUGAGUGCUAAGUGUUAGGGGGUUUCCGCCCCUUAGUGCUGCAGCUAACGCAUUAAGCACUCCGCCUGGGGAGUACGACCGCAAGGUUGAAACUCAAAGGAAUUGACGGGGACCCGCACAAGCGGUGGAGCAUGUGGUUUAAUUCGAAGCAACGCGAAGAACCUUACCAAAUCUUGACAUCCUUUGACAACUCUAGAGAUAGAGCUUUCCCCUUCGGGGGACAAAGUGACAGGUGGUGCAUGGUUGUCGUCAGCUCGUGUCGUGAGAUGUUGGGUUAAGUCCCGCAACGAGCGCAACCCUUAAGCUUAGUUGCCAUCAUUAAGUUGGGCACUCUAAGUUGACUGCCGGUGACAAACCGGAGGAAGGUGGGGAUGACGUCAAAUCAUCAUGCCCCUUAUGAUUUGGGCUACACACGUGCUACAAUGGACAAUACAAAGGGCAGCGAAACCGCGAGGUCAAGCAAAUCCCAUAAAGUUGUUCUCAGUUCGGAUUGUAGUCUGCAACUCGACUACAUGAAGCUGGAAUCGCUAGUAAUCGUAGAUCAGCAUGCUACGGUGAAUACGUUCCCGGGUCU
This 1372-nucleotide ribosomal RNA is filed under the name uncultured bacterium. RNAcentral's name for it is "bacterial SSU rRNA". It matches the Rfam family "Bacterial small subunit ribosomal RNA", at positions 28 to 1381 of the family's 1533-position model. The record is from RNAcentral.